RNAcentral lists this transfer RNA (75 nucleotides) under Streptomyces sp. 6-11-2. Its description in RNAcentral is "tRNA-Trp". Lineage: Bacteria; Bacillati; Actinomycetota; Actinomycetes; Kitasatosporales; Streptomycetaceae. The record is from RNAcentral.
GGCGCGGCGGACGGCGGCGAGGACCUCCUGCUCCAGCUGGGCGCGGCCGCGCGGUUCGAGGCCGCCCGCGUCACC